UGCAGAAAAGGCAGGAGAAGUUCCUGAGGACCCUGGGGAGCCCCUCAACGGAGCUCUGGCACGCGGGCUCCUGGGGCACCGUGUGCGACGAUGGCUGGGACCUGGCAGACGCGGAGGUCGUGUGCCGCCAGCUGGGCUGUGGUCGGGCCGUCGCCGCCCUGGGGGCCGCCGCCUUUGGCCCUGGCUCCGGGCCCGUGUGGCUGGACGAGGUGGGGUGCCGGGGCAGCGAGGCGUCCCUGUGGGGCUGCCCUUCGGAGCGGUGGGGACGCGGAGGCUGCGCGCACAAGGAGGACGCAGGCCUGCGCUGCUGGGGUGAGUGGGGGGUGGUGGGAAAUGGGUCAUGAGGCUAGCAGCGGGCGCUGGGAUGGAGUCAGUCUUGAGUGUUGCUUCUGUCGCUUCGGUGGGCAGGAGAGCUCGCCCAGGUUUUAGUGGAUUGGUUUCCACCCUGGGAUUUUUCUGGGAUAAGCUGAUUUGCUGUGGAGGCCUGUUUGGGACAUGCAUCCCCUGGGGUUUCCCCCUAAUCUUUUUUGGGAAUUCCCUUUUGUUUAUUCCAAUCCUUGUUCAUUUCGGGUAUGUGUCACCUGGGUGUUGGCAGGUUCAGUUGUUCCCAAAGCCUGCAUCUCAUUCUCUUUGCAGAAAACAGUUAACCACAGUGAUGACCUUAGCAAAAAUAGCAGCAGUGGGUAACUUUCCCCGAGCCGCUCCCAUUCUCUGUGCUCUGGUCACCUCUUGUGACUUGCCCUGGCAUCUGCCUGGGGGCCAUGUUUUACCAAGGAAGGGGGCUGUCCCUUGAAAGCAGACACCUCCAGUGGACACUAGCCAUUUUGGGGUGCUCUGCGCAGCUGAAACCAGCAGAUGCCCCCCCCAAGCACUUCCGACUCGCAGGUCCUCCAUGAGGGAGAGGGUGUGGCUGGGCCCUUGGAGCCACCCUGUCCUGCUGAGGGCGUGCAGGUUCCGCCUGGCCACCCUGCUGGCUCAAGACCUCUCCUUUGUCAGAGCCUGGCCCAGGCCCCCCGCUGCCUGCAGCUCCCAUCCGGACAUUGUGGGCGGUCAGUGUCGUCCUGCAGCUCCCAUCCGGACAUUCUGGGCGGUCAGUGUCGUCCUGGGAGCCCUUCUUGGUCUUCUCCUUCUGGGCCUUAUGGCCUUUCUGAUUCUGCCUCGAGUCACACAAGCCAUGCAGAGGGGUCUAGGAAGAUCCGAGGCAUCUCUUGGAGAAGCCAUCUAUGAUGUCAUUGGGGAAAUGCCGCUAGCAGGACUGUACGAGGAAAUCAUGGAGGCCGAGGCCGAGGCCAUGCUCCAAGAUGAGGAGGACGAGGGUGUGGUGAAGGUGGACACAGAAGCCGCAGUUUCAGGGGAGGCGUCUAACCUCCUGGAGGGACAGUCUAUACGUAUGGAGGGAGGACACAGCAGACCUGUUUCUCAGGGAUAUGACGAGGCUGCGUUUCCUCUGGAGGAGAUGAUGUUGUAAAGCACCCUGAGGAUGAGAUACACCAGCUGGCUGUCGAAAUCACAGCUCUUCAUUUUCUUGUACAAUUGUAGUGGAUUUCGUGAGAACACCUUGGAUGCCUUUCUCUUGCAAUGUCCUCCACGUCCAUAUAAAAUCCAGUCCUUCCAGGCCCUGCCUGGUUCUAACCCUCAUCCCCUUCGAGGGCCAUCUGCUGUGGACAGUUGUGCUGUGUAACCUUCAGAUUUCCCACACAUUACAGCAAUGCAAAUACACAUAGAAAUCAGUGGUUCUGUUUGUGGUUUAGAGACACAUGGUGCCAUCUUCAUCUUCCGCUCCACAGCUCGCUUCUGGCACCCAGCAGUGCGUUGCAGAGAUCCCCGUGCCAGAACCUUCCUCUUUUUUCUUAAAAACUCUUCUUAAUUGAAUCCAAAGUAUCUUUUAGAUGUUCUACUUGUGUAAUCAUGUCAUCUGUGAAUAUUCAGAUUUAUCUUCUCCCUCCAAUCCGUGUACAUUUAAUCUCUUUUUCUGUGCCUUAUUUCGGGGGCUGGGACCCUUCAGUCCAGUGUUGAAGAGAGGCAGCCAGUGGAGGUCUUGUCUCAUUCAUGGACUCCGAGCAAAUGUGUUCCACAUUUAAUUUCACUAUGAAAUAUAAUAUUUGAUGUUCGGUUUUGUAGAUGCCAUUUAUCAGAUCAAGGAAAGCCCAGUCUAUCCCUAAUUUGUUAAGGGUUUUGCUUUUUAUCAUAAGUGUUGACUUUUAUCAAAUUGUUUCUUGUAUCUAUUAAGAUGAUAGAUGAUUGAUUUUCAUAUGUUAAAUUAACCAUGGGUUAAACAAACUUACCUUUAUCAUGAUAUAUUAUUCUUUUUGUAUUUCACAGGAAUUAGUUUGGUAAUAUGUUGGGUCAAUGUUUAAAAAAGAAAAUGAUGUGUAAUUUUUUUCUUUUAUUGUAGUAUUUCUGUUUAAUUUUUGGUAUGAGGAUUAUUCACGUCUCAUAAGAGUUAGGAGUAUAUUCUCUUUUAAAAAAUAUUUGCUAAUUUACACUCCC
RNAcentral lists this small RNA (2490 nucleotides) under Pongo abelii (Sumatran orangutan). RNAcentral's name for it is "retained intron". The record is from RNAcentral. Lineage: Eukaryota; Metazoa; Chordata; Mammalia; Primates; Hominidae.